RNAcentral lists this long non-coding RNA (2794 nucleotides) under Homo sapiens (human). RNAcentral describes it as "HSALNT0312635". The record is from RNAcentral. Lineage: Eukaryota; Metazoa; Chordata; Mammalia; Primates; Hominidae.
AGGGUGGAGGGUGCCUGGGCCGGGCUAGAACAGGAGGGCAGGGCCGCCCACGCGGGAAAACCAACGGAGCCCUGAGACGUGUUUUUACUUGGAUUGGUUGGUUGCUUUGGGCGUGCGUUUCCUAGCGUCAUUCCUUUGUUGGCUCCUCCCUGUCCUCUUGGUGCUGUGGGCCCUGAAAGUUGUCGAGUGCGCCUGUCCCUGUGGUGGGAGCAGUGGCGCCGAGCGUGCCCACGGGCCGCCGCUUGGGUUUCUCUCGUGUUCAGGGUAGUAUGGACGUGGACAAUGGCAGUGGCCCCUGGCUGGCCCAAGAGCCGGGUCCAGAUACGCGCGCCUGAUUCCAGGCGUCAUAACCAACCCGGGGCCGCGAGGCUGGGAUCAGGCACCCCGGAGCCGCUUGCCCGUGGCCGGGCUGCUCUCCCCCUCUAAGCCUAAGCACCGCCAGUCGCGGCGCUGCGCUUUCCGCCGACCUCCCAGAGCGUCCCGCCGUCGCCGGCGGCCAGCCUCGCGCAGGACCAGUGUGGCGCCGCCCUGCUGUUGCUGGGGGGCGCCCGAGGCCUCCAUUCCUUGCCCAGGCUUCCGGCUCUCGGGGCGGCCUCCCUUCCGCCCACGCUCCAGGGCUUCCCCGGCUCCCGAGCUCCGAGCUUCCACCACAUCGGCCGGCUCAGGACAGAUACCCAGUGGUGGGAUUGCUGAAUCAGACAGAGCCAAUAGACGAUCAGUAAUGGUGGCCAAUCAUCAGCUAGAAACAAAGUAUUUAGCAGUGCUUGAAAACACCAAAACUCUGAGACCACUGACCUUCCAAAACUUCAACAGCCCUGAGUGAAAAGUCCAAACACAUUUAUCCACCAUUCAAAGACCCUUUAUUUUCUGUCCUCUGUGCAUCUCAGUAGUCUCUUUUUACCACACUGUCUAUAUACUGCAUGAGCCAUUUACGUGAAACUAUCUGACACUCCAAGGCAUCUUAUACUAUAUAUUCAACCAUGUAUCCCUAGUACCUAGCACAGUCCUGGCAUAUAGUUUGCUACUAAACAUUUGCAGAAUGAAGGAAUUAUCUUGUAUCCAGGUUCAAGUUUUAAGUUGAUUCUUCACUAAACAAAGUAUUACAGUUCACAAAUAAUCUACUUCCUUUUUUACAAAUGGGAUCGAUCUUAAUCUUAUCCCCUAAUAACAUUACUUUCAUUUACUCCCAUCUAAAUAUACUGUCCUAAGAGAGCAAUAAGAAAGAGAGUUGAAGCUGGAGCUUGAAGAAUUGUACAUGGUCCUGUGAUAACCUACCUUGUUUUAACCUGAGUGACUGUCUCCUAGCAGAGAGCUGGACAGACUCCAUUUUAGUUUCUUCAUGUGCAGCCCCCUUUACCUCCCUCCCUUAAGGACAUAACUAGUGUAAACUGACUCAAAGCAUGUCCAGGAAUCACUUACUGUUAAGAUAUUGAGGCAAGCUGCGCCAGCAGCUCCUGGGGAUGCGCUCGGUGAAUGGCACCCAAAACCCCUGCAUUUCUCUCUUUGUGAUAGUUUAAGCCCCUGCACCUGGAACUGUUUAUUUUUUUGCAACUGCUUUUGUAACCAAUUAAUUUUUUAACUUUUUGCCAGCUCUGCUUCUGUAAAAAUUGCUUCAGCCAAACUCCCCCCUCCCCUAUUUAGACCACGGUAUAAAACCAAAACCAACCCCUUCCUCGGGGCCGAGAGAAUUUUGAGCGUUAGCUGCCUCUCGGUCACCAGCUAAUAGAGGAUUCCUUAAUUUGUCUCAAAGUGUGGCAUUUCUCUAUAACUCGCUGGGUUACAACAGUCCACACUGUGGCCUGAGGCGCAUCGCCCACCUGAGCUUCAUCUGUUAGGUAUGUCAGGGAAGAUAAGCAGGGUAAGGAUGGCCUCAUCAGAGGGCCCCAGAUCUCUAGCUCCCCCAUCUGGCAAGUGCACCUCUGUGAACAAAGUCUUCAGAGCCAGAUGACAAGAACGGCCCAAUCAGUCCACCAGGGAAACCUGGGCCCAGUGUACGUCAAUGCAGAGCAUCAAGCACGGCGUAACAGGUGCACAGUUGCCUAUUCCUGUUCAGAGAUAACUGCAUCCCACACACUGUAAAAUGAGGAAAUGCAGAGAAGCAGAUGUAACUGAAGAAGACAGCAGGAGCAACAAGGAGGGACAACCACGACCUAGGAGGACACCAUGCCAGAGAGGCCUGGACCCCACGCUAGGCUCAGUGCCUGUUAUACUCUUGGGACCCAGCGCUUUCCUUCUCCAUCACGUGGCAUACUUGGCAUUAUUUGUUGUUUAAAAUAUUGUCCUUAGUUUUCACCUUUCCUAGGAGACACAGGCAGACCCUGUGACACUACAGCUGGCACACAGUAGGUGCAUCACAAACAUCUGCUGAGUUCACACACUCUUGCCUUCUCAAACCUUCUUGUCAAGUCUUCAGUGAAAAGGAAUUGCUGAUUGAGCAAGAAUUAAACUUCUAGAGACUCCUGGAUCCACUGAAGUUUGAGACAAGGUGAGAUUUGUUUACUGCCAUAUUCCUAGCUCAUAGCAUACUGUAGUCACUUAAAAAAUGUUUGUUGAAUAAGUGAGUGAAUUGAUUCAAUUGUCAUACUUAGCUAUAUAUUUUCUGAGUAAAACUGAUAAAUUUAAUAGUUUACUUCUAGUAUAAUUUUACUUUACUUAUUCAAUGAACCUGACAAUUCAACUAGGUGCCAGGCACACUGCUGCUGAAGAAAAAGAGGUAUAAGAUACAACUUCUGUCUAUAAGAAAGCCACAGUCUAAAAAGUAGAAACAUAUGAACAAAUUAUAACAAUAAAUAGG